CUUUAUAGCUUAUCUCAAGAGCACUUUACUGAAGAUAAAGAGGUCUAAAUA
Molecule: transfer RNA, 51 nt
Filed under: Argiope bruennichi
Lineage: Eukaryota; Metazoa; Arthropoda; Arachnida; Araneae; Araneidae
Description: tRNA-Phe
Source: RNAcentral